Molecule: long non-coding RNA, 1453 nt
Filed under: Struthio camelus australis
Lineage: Eukaryota; Metazoa; Chordata; Aves; Struthioniformes; Struthionidae
Description: lncRNA (ENSSCUG00000013285.1)
Source: RNAcentral
UGGUUGUUUGAUUGAAAACAUGAAUGAAUUAAGCUUUAGUCUGUAUCUGCAAGUUAGAGAAAUGUCUUUUUUUUUUUUUUCAAUGACAUAAGAGAGCAUUUUUUCAGAGCACCAGACUCACUGGACACAGCACAACAAAACUCAGAGAGCUUUGUCCGUUUUCCCCUAACUUUCAACAGUACUGAACCUUUAGCGUAAAGAGCAAGAUCCUCCUAACCCACAUCUGAGGAUAACUGCCAUCCAGCCCUACAUCAUGUCAUACCCAUGCAGAGGCCACCUGAAGACCAGCUGGGCAAAUCUCUCUUGCACUGGGUGUAGUAAAGAGGACUGGGUAAAAUUAUUCCAAAAUUGAAGGCUUUCCUGAGGUCUUUACUAGCAGUAUCUGUUUGUUUUUAAAUCAAGUGAGCUCUGGCUUGGGUUGCUCUAUCUAUUCCAGCUGUGGCAUUAUGGCUUGAGGAGCCCGGCACACUCAUAGGUGUGAAAUAUUGCAAGGAACGAGUUCAUUUUGAACUUGAGGGUGGCCUGGUAGAGGAUGGUAGCACCGAGAGAAGUGGUUAGAUCAGGAAAGAAGCUGAACAUUUCGUCUACAAAUACCUUUUAAGUUGUCUGCUUGGGAAAAAAAUGUCCUGGGCUUUUAAUUCAUCCAUUUGCUUAUUUUUGUAACGGGAAUUAUAGUGGUUACCUCACUGCUCUGGGCUCAGGCUGGGGAAAGAUCGAUCAUUGCUGUUGAGGCUUUGCUGAUAACCCCUGCCCGGGGCUGGGAUGAAGCUGCAGACACUGCCCAUUCUGAGAUGGGAAAGCACAUAUUCUCUCUGCUUUCUGUAUUUUGUUAAUGUAUGUUGAUGUUAUAUGUUAUUAAAAUCAAUUACCUCCUUUAUUUACUUCCUUUCCGACUGCUUUAACUCUGACUCAAUUACUUUGCAUUUCUUUUUUUUAGAAAUGUAGGUUGAAGCUGAUACAAAGGAAAUAAUAUCCAAUCUGUAUUUCUGAAGGUUCAGGACCAGUCUGUCAGGCUGCUGGCACAAAACAACAAUUGUUUUAUUGUCAGGAUUUCCAUCUCUGGGGAAUUCCCACCGCGCUCCUUCUCCACCCGCUCCCAGAGCCGCAGUGAGGAAGGCACCACGUCGGGGAUGGCGAGAGGGACAUCACUUAAAACACCCGCAGCUCAGCAACGUGGGAACACCAUCGCGUUUGUGCUCACCCAACAGAAAACAGAUCGGCCUUUUCCUUCCUGCACCUCAGCGGCACGGAGGGAAGCGCUGGCCUGAUUGCUCGCUGCAGCAAGCGGACUCGGUGAGGUGUCCCCAGCGCGACCGUAUGCCCGGGAGCUGGUGGCCAGCAUGGUGAUAGCCACGCAGAGCCACGCUGUGCUCAGCAGCCAUGGGGGCUGUAGCUGCCGAGCAGCCGGCCAGAAGAGCUGGGCAGCCAACACAUCCCUUCAGGAUUGCAUCAU